Molecule: ribosomal RNA, 570 nt
Filed under: Cladosporium sp.
Lineage: Eukaryota; Fungi; Ascomycota; Dothideomycetes; Cladosporiales; Cladosporiaceae
Description: partial large subunit ribosomal RNA
Rfam family: Eukaryotic large subunit ribosomal RNA
Source: RNAcentral
GACGUCCCGAGUUGUAAUUUUGUAGAGGAUGCUUCUGAGUAACCACCGACCUAAGUUUCCUUGGAACAGGACGUCAUAGAGGGUGAGAAUCCCGUAUGCGGUCGGAAAGGUGCUCUAUACGUAGCUCCUUCGACGAGUCGAGUUGUUUGGGAAUGCAGCUCUAAAUGGGAGGUAAAUUUCUUCUAAAGCUAAAUAUUGGCCAGAGACCGAUAGCGCACAAGUAGAGUGAUCGAAAGAUGAAAAGCACUUUGGAAAGAGAGUUAAAAAGCACGUGAAAUUUGUUAAAAGGGAAGGGAUUGCAACCAGACUUGCUCGCGGUGUUCCGCCGGUCUUCUGACCGGUCUACUCGCCGCGUUGCAGGCCAGCAUCGUCUGGUGCCGCUGGAUAAGACUUGAGGAAUGUAGCUCCCUCGGGAGUGUUAUAGCCUCUUGUGAUGCAGCGAGCGCCGGGCGAGGUCCGCGCUUCGGCUAGGAUGCUGGCGUAAUGGUCGUAAUCUGCCCGUCUUGAAACACGGACCAAGGAGUCUAACAUCUAUGCGAGUGUUCGGGUGUCAUACCCCUACGCGUAAUG